This 378-nucleotide unclassified non-coding RNA is filed under the name Limulus polyphemus (Atlantic horseshoe crab). RNAcentral describes it as "dopamine receptor 2-like, transcript variant X2". The record is from RNAcentral. Lineage: Eukaryota; Metazoa; Arthropoda; Merostomata; Xiphosura; Limulidae.
UACGAGCCGAAGCUUCUGCUGCGUGAUGGAAGCGCCUCAUCGCUGAUGGCCAACUAGUGGCUCAUUAAAUUCCCGUUAUCGCUAGCAUGCCGAUAUCUACGAGAAGCAAGAUCGUGCUUUUUUUCAUGUAACUCAGUUAGGAAUUAACACUUCGUGCAUAUUUGCGUGUCAGAGAACGCGAAUCGCUGUCAACAUCAACUACACUUCAGAAUUUAUAACUUAAUACCAGGAUGACAUGUAAGCAUGCAGUGAAGUCCUUGCGGACCGUAGAGCCGAUCUUGCUCUGCCAGCGUUUCUAAAGCUGUUUCUUACGUCAAGGAUGCAACCCUCUUUGAAAGGACGAGCAUGUUUGGUGGGACUGGGAUUCGAACCCGCGAC